Molecule: ribosomal RNA, 1347 nt
Filed under: uncultured bacterium
Lineage: Bacteria
Description: bacterial SSU rRNA
Rfam family: Bacterial small subunit ribosomal RNA
Source: RNAcentral
AGGAUGAACGCUAGCUACAGGCUUAACACAUGCUAGUCGAGGGGCAGCAGGGAGAUAGCUUGCUAUCUUUGCUGGCGACCGGCGCACGGGUGAGUAACGCGUAUCCAACCUGCCCCGUACUCAGGGAUAGCCCGUUGAAAGACGGAUUAAUACCUGAUGUUCUCCUUUCCUGGCAUCUUGAUUGGAGCAAAGAUUGAUCGGUACGGGCUGGGGAUGCGUCUGAUUAGCUUGCCGGCGGGGUAACGGCCCACCGGGGCAACGAUCAGUAGGGGUUCUGAGAGGAAGGUCCCCCACAUUGGAACUGAGACACGGUCCAAACUCCUACGGGAGGCAGCAGUGAGGAAUAUUGGUCAAUGGAGGCAACUCUGAACCAGCCAAGUAGCGUGCAGGAUGACGGCCCUAUGGGUUGUAAACUGCUUUUAUGCGGGGAUAAACGAGCCUACGUGUAGGUUUUUGCAGGUACCGCAUGAAUAAGGACCGGCUAAUUCCGUGCCAGCAGCCGCGGUAAUACGGAAGGUCCGGGCGUUAUCCGGAUUUAUUGGGUUUAAAGGGAGCGUAGGCGGUCUGUUAAGCGUGUUGUGAAAUGUGGGUGCUCAACAUCUGCACUGCAGCGCGAACUGGCGGACUUGAGUUGGCAGAAAGUAUGCGGAAUUCGUGGUGUAGCGGUGAAAUGCUUAGAUAUCACGAAGAACUCCGAUUGCGAAGGCAGCAUGCUGUAGCCUGACUGACGCUGAAGCUCGAAGGUGCGGGUAUCGAACAGGAUUAGAUACCCUGGUAGUCCGCACGGUAAACGAUGGAUGCCCGCUGUUGGCGAGAUACAGUCAGCGGCCAAGCGAAAGCGUUAAGCAUCCCACCUGGGGAGUACGCCGGCAACGGUGAAACUCAAAGGAAUUGACGGGGGCCCGCACAAGCGGAGGAACAUGUGGUUUAAUUCGAUGAUACGCGAGGAACCUUACCCGGGCUUGAACUGCACAGGACUGAUACAGAGAUGUUGAUUCCCUUCGGGGCCUGUGCGGAGGUGCUGCAUGGUUGUCGUCAGCUCGUGCCGUGAGGUGUCGGCUUAAGUGCCAUAACGAGCGCAACCCCUUUCGCCAGUUGCCAUCAGGUAGUGCUGGGCCCUCUGGCGACACUGCCACCGUAAGGUGCGAGGAAGGUGGGGAUGACGUCAAAUCAGCACGGCCCUUACGUCCGGGGCUACACACGUGUUACAAUGGGUGGUACAGAGAGCCGGACGCCGGCAACGUCGUCCUAAUCCUUAAAGCCGUCCUCAGUUCGGAUUGGGGUCUGCAACCCGACCCCAUGAAGCUGGAUUCGCUAGUAAUCGCGCAUCAGCCAUGGCGCGGUGAA